This is a ribosomal RNA of 427 nucleotides. It matches the Rfam family "Bacterial small subunit ribosomal RNA", at positions 341 to 786 of the family's 1533-position model.
ACGGGAGGCAGCAGUGGGGGAUAUUGCACAAUGGGCGAAAGCCUGAUGCAGCGACGCCGCGUGAGGGAAGACGGUUUUCGGAUUGUAAACCUCUGUCUUCGGGGACGAAAAUGACGGUACCCGAGGAGGAAGCCACGGCUAACUACGUGCCAGCAGCCGCGGUAAUACGUAGGUGGCAAGCGUUGUCCGGAAUUACUGGGUGUAAAGGGAGAGUAGGCGGGAUUGCAAGUCCGUUGUUAAAUCUAUCGGCUCAACCGAUAGUUGCGGCGGAAACUGUAGUUCUUGAGUGAAGUAGAGGUAAGCGGAAUUCCUAGUGUAGCGGUGAAAUGCGUAGAUAUUAGGAGGAACAUCGGUGGCGAAGGCGGCUUACUGGGCUUUUACUGACGCUGAGGCUCGAAAGCGUGGGGAGCAAACAGGAUUAGAUACC